Molecule: ribosomal RNA, 370 nt
Filed under: uncultured bacterium
Lineage: Bacteria
Description: partial 16S ribosomal RNA
Rfam family: Bacterial small subunit ribosomal RNA
Source: RNAcentral
CCUACGGGAGGCAGCAGUGGGGGAUAUUGCACAAUGGGGGCAACCCUGAUCCAGCGACGCCGCGUGGGCGAAGACGUAUUUCGGUAUGUAAAGCCCUAUCAGCAGGGAAGUAGAAAUGACGGUACCUGCGUCAGAAGCACCGGCUAAAUACGUGCCAGCAGCCGCGGUAAUACGUAUGGUGCAAGCGUUAUCCGGAUUUACUGGGUGUAAAGGGAGCGCAGGCGGCACGGAAAGCCUGUUGUGAAAGCCCGCGGCCCAACCGCGGGACUGCAUUGGGAACUACCGGGCUGGAGUGCCGGAGGGGUAGGCGGAAUUCAUAGUGUAGCGGUGAAAUGCGUAGAUAUUAGGAGGAACACCAGUGGCGAAGGCG